UAACAAUAAGCCCACUACAUGUUUCACAUAAUCAUAGUAUUUUCUUUUUCUUUUUGGAGACAGGGUCUGACUCUGUCACCCAGGCUGGAGUGUGGUGGCACAAUCAUAGCUCACUGCAGCCUUGACCUCCUGGGCCUGAGCCAUCCUCCCACCUCAGCCUCUCGAGUGGAUGGGGCUACAGGUGCACACCACCACGUCCUGAACAAUACUUUCGAAGUAAAAAAAAUCUGCUUGAAUGACUCCAGAAGUCCCACAGCCAGUGAGUAACACAGUGCAUCAUGGAGAGUAGUAUGAAAUAUUUGUAUUCACUUAAAGUGGAAAGACAAUCUGCACACCUGGAGGAGAUAUUUGCAACAUUUACAACUGGCAAAGGUUUAUUACCAAGAAUAUAUAAAGAAGUCUUAUAAAUCAACAAGAAAGAAGAAAAACAACAGAAAGAAAUGGACAAAAGAAAAAGCAUUUUAUAAAAGAAGAAAUGCUCAUGGCCAGCAAACAUAUGGAGAUGUUCAAACUCAUGUGAAAUGUAAAUCAAGACCCAAUAAGAUAAGCUUUUAUGUCCACUAAAAUGGCAAAAUGUUAAUAGCUAGACAAUCCAAGUAUUGGAGAACAUACAGAUCCAUGGGAUCUCUUACAUAUCGCUUAUAAGGGUACGCAUUAGGACAUAGGACACUCACUUAGAAAAAGUGUGGCAUUAUCUUGCAAAAUCAAACACUCACAUAGGCUGCUGUGCAGGUCCUGAGUCUGUUUGCCCUCAGAUCCACUCUUUGCUAUGCCCUUAUGUCCUCAGUUUUCCAGCAGGAUCUCGGCAGCCAUGUCAUCUUGCUUCCAGUUGGGCUCAGUUAAUAAAAGAGAGAGAAUGGAAGGUGGAAAGAAGGGAGAAGCCAAGGUGUUUCUCACCAGCACCCUCCCCUUCUCCUCUCAGGUAACAUCCCCUGUGGUGGCCACAGCUCUCCGAUGGGUCCAGUUCCCACAGGAAAGCCAGCCAUGAUUCUAACUUCUACCAGGUGACCCUGGCCCUGGGCUCUGGUGACACUAACCUUUUGUUUCUCUAGUCCUGGGGAGGGGUAGUAACAGCUUCCUGCUAUUAUUAAUUUAUGGAUUGCCUCAUUGCCUCCUGUGAGGCUUCUCAGCUAUUGAUUACCAUACUACUCAGCAAUAAAAAGGAAAAAACUAUUGAUACAUGCAACAACUUUGUCGGACCACAAGAGAAUUUUACCAACUAAAAAAGCCAGUCUCACAUUGUUACAUACUAUAUGAUUCCACUUACAUAACCUUCUAGAAAUGACAAAAUUAUUGAGGUGAAGAACAGAUUAGUGGUUGCCAAGGGUUAAAGACAGGGUUGGGGUUGGAGAAAGAAAUCAGUGUACCUAAAAAGAAGCAGCCAGAGGGAUCUUUGUGGUGACGGGACAGUUCUGUAUCUUGAUUGUGGUGGUGGUUAUACAAAUCUACGUGUAAUAAAGUUUUAUGUGUGCAUAGAACUAUGUACAUACUCAAACAAAUGCAUGUAACCCUGGUGAAAUCUGAAUAAGGUCUGUGGAUUGUGCCAAUACCAGUGACCUGGUUUUGAUACUGUAUUAUAGCUAUCUAAGACAUUAUUAUCAGGAGAAAAUGGGGGAAAGGUACAUGUACUUUUCUGUACUAUUUUUGCAACUUCUCGUGAAUCUGUUACUAUUUCAAAAUUAAAAGUAUCUGAAAAUCCAUAGAGUGGUUUCUGUUUUUUCUGAUUAGACCCUGACUGAUACUCCUACAACCCCA
This 1755-nucleotide long non-coding RNA is filed under the name Homo sapiens (human). RNAcentral's name for it is "HSALNT0330285". The record is from RNAcentral. Lineage: Eukaryota; Metazoa; Chordata; Mammalia; Primates; Hominidae.